CCAGAAUGCAAAUCAGGAGUAGCGCCCAAAGGUGCCGGGGCUUCUCCCGUUU
RNAcentral lists this transfer RNA (52 nucleotides) under Mediodactylus russowii. RNAcentral's name for it is "partial tRNA-Cys". The record is from RNAcentral. Lineage: Eukaryota; Metazoa; Chordata; Lepidosauria; Squamata; Gekkonidae.